Molecule: long non-coding RNA, 199 nt
Filed under: Hordeum vulgare
Lineage: Eukaryota; Viridiplantae; Streptophyta; Magnoliopsida; Poales; Poaceae
Description: long non-coding RNA (HVUL_LNC019859)
Source: RNAcentral
UCGAGAAGUCGAAAAGUUUGGUGUUUUCAGACAUGAUGACUUCAACAAACAAACAAGCACACAAGCAAGCAAGAAACCCGGCAAAGGAAAACGGCAAAAAGGCAAAAGGCAAAAGAAAAAGGCAAAGGAGAAAGGCAAAUUAAAACGGCAAAUGUGAAGUGGGGGAGAGGAAAACGAGAGGCAACAGGCAAAAAAAAAA